RNAcentral lists this ribosomal RNA (199 nucleotides) under uncultured bacterium. RNAcentral describes it as "partial 16S ribosomal RNA". It matches the Rfam family "Bacterial small subunit ribosomal RNA", at positions 1288 to 1500 of the family's 1533-position model. The record is from RNAcentral.
CUAGUUCGGAUUGUAGGCUGAAACUCGCCUACAUGAAGCUGGAAUUGCUAGUAAUCACAGGUCAGCAUACUGUGGUGAAUACGUUCCCGGGCCUUGUACACACCGCCCGUCACACCAUGAGAGUUGAGAAUACCCGAAGCCCAUGUCAAAGUGGUCGAAGGUAGGCUUGAUGAUUGGGGUGAAGUCGUAACAAGGUAGC